CACUCUCUCUCUCCCUCUCUCUCCCUCUCUCUCUCUCUCCCUCUCUCUCUCUCUCUCUCUUUCGGGCAGAGAGAAGAAACCCACGCGCGCACGCGGUGAUGUCUUACGGGUGAUAAUUGGCCCAGGGGUCGGGUCUGACGGGAACAGAAAGUUUUGAGGGAGUUUACUGCUGAUGCAAGGUGACUGGUUGGAUAAAGAAGUCCAAAGUUAUUUUUUUAUCUGUAGAACAAAUAAAGCCUGGCCAAAGGUUUGAAGCCUCUGAGAGCCAGGCCCAGGCUGUGUCCAUCCAUAACCCUGCGACAUGCACGCCACAGAAUAGGCUGUUUGGCUGAGUGAGGAGCGCAUCAAAGGGAACACUUUCCAUUUGCUCCCUAAGAGACACUACAUGAUAUACCAAGAGUAAUGGCGGGAUACUCUGUGAUUAUCAUUACUUUUAAAAUAUUUAUUUAUUUUUGAGGGAGGGUCUUACUAUGUAGACCUGGCUAGCCUUAAACUCAGAGAGAGCUGCCUGCCUCUGCCUCUUGAGUUCUGAGAUUAAAGGCAUGAACUAUCAUGCCUGGUUCAAUUAUUAUUAUUUAUUAUUUUUUUUGAGAUUUUAUAUGUGAGUGUACUGUGUUCGCAUCAUCUCUAUACCUCCUGCUCCACACUCCAACUCUUCCAAUGUCCCUUCUUCUCCAUAUCCCCCUUUAAACUCAUGUCAUCACCUUCUAUGAUCACACACACACACACACACACAGAGAGAGAGAGAGAGAGAGAGAGAGAGAGAGAGAGAGAGAGAGAGAGAGAGAGAGAGCCUAUUGAGUCCAAUUAAUAUUGCCAAUAUAUAAUUAGUCUUGGGUGACCUAGCAGGGGCUUUGUCCCUGAAGAAAACCAACUCUCUCUCUCAGUAGCUCUUCAACUAAGGGUGGAACUAAGAAUUUUAUAUCGUUCUAAAAUGGUUGCCUUAUCCAUGUUGGUCUGUGUACUAGUGUGGUCUUACAUUAGCAGUCAUAUUGUUAGGAGCUCCUAGGUGCAGUAUCUUGGUCAUGCUCAGGAGACCAAUUUUGAGAAGUUCUUUUAGUCUCUGGUUGCUACAGUCUUUCUCCCUCUCUUCUGCGAUGUUUCCUGAGCCCUGUGUGUAGGAGUUCUGCUAGAGAUUCCCAUUUGGUGAUAAGAACUCCAUGGUCACUCAAGUGAAUUAAUAAAGCAUAACUAUAACUAUAACUGUA
Peromyscus maniculatus bairdii (prairie deer mouse) is the source of this 1208-nucleotide long non-coding RNA. RefSeq lists it as uncharacterized. The record is from RefSeq and is a predicted model, not a curated record. Lineage: Eukaryota; Metazoa; Chordata; Mammalia; Rodentia; Cricetidae.